UACGAAGGGGGCUAGCGUUGCUCGGAAUCACUGGGCGUAAAGGGCGCGUAGGCGGCCAGCACAAGUCAGUUGUGAAAUCUCCGAGCUUAACUCGGAAAGGUCAACUGAUACUGUGCGGCUAGAGUGCGGAAGGGGCAACUGGAAUUCUUGGUGUAGCGGUGAAAUGCGUAGAUAUCAAGAGGAACACCUGCGGCGAAGGCGGGUUGCUGGGCCGACACUGACGCUGAGGCGCGAAAGCCAGGGGAGCGAACGGG
RNAcentral lists this ribosomal RNA (254 nucleotides) under uncultured bacterium. Its description in RNAcentral is "partial 16S ribosomal RNA". It matches the Rfam family "Bacterial small subunit ribosomal RNA", at positions 524 to 776 of the family's 1533-position model. The record is from RNAcentral.